CCUACGGGAGGCAGCAGUGAGGAAUAUUGGUCAAUGGACGAGAGUCUGAACCAGCCAAGUAGCGUGAAGGAUGACUGCCCUAUGGGUUGUAAACUUCUUUUAUAAAGGAAUAAAGCGAGCCACGUGUGCCUUUUUGCAUGUAAUUUGUGAAUAAGGAUCGGCCAAAUCCGUGCCAGCAGCCGCGGUAAUACGGAGGAUCCGAGCGUUAUCCGGAUUUAUUGGGGUUAAAGGGAGGGUAAAUGGGUUGUUAAGUCAGUUGUGAAAGUUUGCGGCUCAACCGUAAAAGUGCAAUUGAUACUGGCAGUCUUGAGUACAGUUGAGGUAGGCGGAAUUCGUGGUGUAGCGGUGAAAUGCUUAGAUAUCACGAAGAACCCCGAUUGCGAAGGCAGCUUACUAAACUGCGACUGACACUGAUGCUCGAAAGUGUGGGUAUCAAACAGGAUUAGAUACCCGGGUAGUC
Molecule: ribosomal RNA, 460 nt
Filed under: uncultured bacterium
Lineage: Bacteria
Description: partial 16S ribosomal RNA
Rfam family: Bacterial small subunit ribosomal RNA
Source: RNAcentral